CUGGCUGUGGAUUAGGUCAUAAAUGGCCCUUCUGCGUCUCUUAUUCUCACGUCCUGGAAGCAGGUCGCGCAGGUCGUCUUCAGUCAGGGCCUGAAUGUCUGAGUCACUUUGUAAACCAGCGUCUGCAACAACGACACAGAAUGACUAAAGAUGGAAACUCAACAUUUAAACGUGAGCUCAACAGUCAUCUUAUAAAAGUGAAACAACAAAUUGUUUUUAUUAUCUAAUCCUCGUCAAUAAACAAAAGGUCACUAACUCAUCAACUCAUCAGCUGCUGGUUUGUCGAUGUCUUCUAUUUCCUUCAGUAAACCCGACAUGACUUCACCUGUAAAGCGGAAUAAAAGCAGCAUUUAUUAUUCUAUUAUUCUGGUAGAUCGUCUUUUCUCUCGUCCGUGUGACAUAUUGGUGAAAGAUCGGGAUACAAACCAGCUGUGUAGACGAGUCAAACCAAAGGAAGCGAUCGAUCA
Gasterosteus aculeatus aculeatus (three-spined stickleback) is the source of this 467-nucleotide long non-coding RNA. The record is from Ensembl. Lineage: Eukaryota; Metazoa; Chordata; Actinopteri; Perciformes; Gasterosteidae.